This 274-nucleotide unclassified non-coding RNA is filed under the name uncultured fungus. RNAcentral describes it as "partial contains small subunit ribosomal RNA, internal transcribed spacer 1, and 5.8S ribosomal RNA". The stretch from base 1 to 73 matches the Rfam family "Eukaryotic small subunit ribosomal RNA", at positions 1759 to 1831 of the family's 1831-position model. Lineage: Eukaryota; Fungi. The record is from RNAcentral.
CCAAACUUGGUCAUUUAGAGGAAGUAAAAGUCGUAACAAGGUCUCCGUAGGUGAACCUGCGGAGGGAUCAUUACCGAGCGAGGGCCCCCGCGCCCGACCUCCAACCCCUUUGAAGGUACCCACCCUGUUGCCUCGGGGGCGACCCGGCCUCUCGCGUCGGCGCCCCCGGUGGACCACACCACUCUGCGUCUUUGCGUCGGAGUCGGAGGGAGAAAUGUCAAUCAAAACUUUCAACAACGGAUCUCUUGGUUCUGGCAUCGAUGAAGAACGCAGC